RNAcentral lists this ribosomal RNA (466 nucleotides) under uncultured bacterium. RNAcentral describes it as "partial 16S ribosomal RNA". It matches the Rfam family "Bacterial small subunit ribosomal RNA", at positions 28 to 507 of the family's 1533-position model. The record is from RNAcentral.
GAUGAACGCUGGCGGCGUGCUUAACACAUGCAAGUCGAACGGAAGGGCUCCUGCUUGCCGGGGUACUCGAGUGGCGAACGGGUGAGUAACACGUGGGUGAUCUGCCCUGCACUUCGGGAUAAGCCUGGGAAACUGGGUCUAAUACCGGAUAGGACGAUGGUUUGGAUGCCAUUGUGGAAAGUUUUUCGGUGUGGGAUGAGCUCGCGGGCUAUCAGCUUGUUGGUGGGGUAAUGGCCUACCAAGGCGUCGACGGGUAGCCGGCCUGUGAGGGUGUACGGCCACAUUGGGUCUGAGAGACGGCCCCGGCUCCUACGGGUGGGAGCAGUGGGGAAUAUUGCACAAUGGGCGCAAGCCUGAUGCAGCGACGCCGCGUGGCGGAUGACGGUCUUCGGGUUGUAAACUCCUUUCGCUAGGGACGAAGCGUUUUGUGACGGUACCUGGAGAAGAAGCACCGGCUAACUACGUG